CAAUUAACCACUAGAUGUAUUUUUGUGACUGAAACAGGCAACAAGCAGCAGAGAUUAAAUAGCAAUAAACAUAGCACAUAGAUAAGUUGGUUAGCCCAUUUUUCUAUGAUUAAUUCAUGCUAGAUUUCUAUUUAGUAGUUUAUUCAGUUAGUAGCACUGCUGAAACUCCUAAAAAUGCUAAGUGUGUGAUUUAGGGAGUCUCUACAACAAAGGAUGUUGGGAGGUUAGAAGGGUUUUAAGAAGUGAAGUACCACCUGAAGCCAGAUCAUCUGAGAAAGAUAUCAGAUAGAACGGAGUAAUUGGGCAAUAAACCUGGAUUUGAGAUGUCAGAGGAAGAAGAUUCUUUUCUGAAUGUUAAAAGAUCUUUGAAAAAGAGAAUGGUGAAACACAGCACUCCAGUGGACUCAAUGCUUUCAAGAACAAUGCCAUCUCUUACAGAUCUGAUAAAUCAGUCAGUGAAGGACCAAGAUACCAGUAAGAGACUUUAUGGAUCGCCAGUGCCAAAACCAAAUCUAAGUAGAUCAUUAGCUCAAGUAUCAUCAGCACAUGUUGAAGCAUACAUCCCUCAUAUGUCCCCAAAAAGGCCUUCAACAGUGUUUAACUCUCAAGAAUUAAACAAAGAGAUAAGCCAAAGCUCUCGGGUUGUAUUUUCUAGAAAGAGGCUUUCCACUGUGUUGGCUUCUGAUGAAUCAAAUGAAGACCCAAGUGACAAGGUUGUCCCAAAAGAGGAAACUCAAGCUUCCACCAAAGCCUCUGAGGAGACUGCAGUAACUCCCAAGAGUGCACCUUCACGGCUUGUUACUGGAAUACCAGGGAUAAAAGAUGUCCUGAUAGUGAAAACCAGGAAGAAGAAAAUUGAUAAAGCUUUUGUGAGAAAGAAACAACAAGAAUGGGUGCUUCGUCAACUUAAAAACAUUGAGGAAGCAACUGAACAUGAACUGACAAUUGAAGAAGCUUGAUUGAACUACCCGUGGAAUCGGUGCUAUCACAUCCUUCUUGUGGGAAUAGUUGGUUCCAAUAAAUCACAUACCUGACUAUAG
This 1040-nucleotide long non-coding RNA is filed under the name Athene cunicularia (burrowing owl). Its description in RNAcentral is "lncRNA (ENSACUG00000007727.1)". The record is from RNAcentral. Lineage: Eukaryota; Metazoa; Chordata; Aves; Strigiformes; Strigidae.